AUUUAGACAAUUCAAUCCUGUCUUCUCCACUAGGCUCCAUCAGACCACAGGUCAUAGUAAUCACUGCCUCCAACUGAGCUUUUGCUACUCAGUCAAUGGUAGGCACUGGCUGACAUAAGGUCUCAUUUGACACAGGAGAUUUAACCUUUGAAGUACAGGCUUUACCUGGCAGACACUAUGGAUCUGAUUCCAGACCACUGCAACAAAGUAGCACUAGCGGUAAAGAACCCACCUGCCAGUGCAGGAGACGUGAGACACGGGUCUUAUCCCCAGAUUGGGAAGUUACCCUGGAGGAGGGCAUGGCAACCCAUUCCAGUAUUCUUGUCUGAAGAAUCCGCAUGGACAGAGGAACCUGGAGGGCUACAGUCCAUAGGGUCACAAAGAAUU
Molecule: long non-coding RNA, 387 nt
Organism: Bubalus bubalis (water buffalo)
Lineage: Eukaryota; Metazoa; Chordata; Mammalia; Artiodactyla; Bovidae
Exons: 3
Source: RefSeq, a predicted model, not a curated record